Cucumis melo (muskmelon) is the source of this 673-nucleotide long non-coding RNA. RefSeq lists it as uncharacterized. The record is from RefSeq and is a predicted model, not a curated record. The transcript has 3 exons. NCBI's taxonomy places the organism in Eukaryota, Viridiplantae, Streptophyta, Magnoliopsida, Cucurbitales, Cucurbitaceae.
GUCAUAGAAGCAACCUCGAAGGAAUCAUCAUCCUUCCCUAGCGAGAAGAAAAAAAUUAGGCAAAGUCUUUUUGCGGAAAGCAGCUGUGAUUGUGAAACCAACCAUCUUUGUCAACUCUUUCUCAUCGUCAUCAUCAUUUCACUCUCACGGCUCCCCUUUUACUUACUCUCCAUUAUCUUCCUUCUCCCUUUUCCCAACCACUUAUAUAACGAUCCAAUCCCCUUUUUUCACCCACACAUAAAAAUCUUCUUCCUUUGAGUCGGAGGCGGAGCAUGGCCGCGGUGGUGGUUGGAAUCGGAGUUCGGAAGCAGAGGAUUUUUCCUCAUGCGUCUAGUCUUGCUUCCAUUGAGUCCUUAUCUCUGCCUCUCGUCCAGGAAAUUGUGUUGACAGCCGAUAUUGGUUGUGCUGAGUGUCAGAAGAAACUGGCCGAUAUACUCUCCAAAAUGAAUGAGUCUGUGGUGGUUGAUUUGUUGGACAAGAAAGUGAUAUUGACUCGAAGAUCGCAAAUUCCAUCUAGAGCUUCAACGAUCAAGAGAUUGUUUGCUUCUCCUUGCAGAUAACUAUAAGUAUAUAUGGAUUUUUUUUUACUAAGGUUUGUUGAUAAAUGAAUAAUCGGAUUGGUUGUUGUUUAGUUUGAAAAAAAAAAAAGUUUAAGAGAUUGCCUUUUUAUUUA